UGGGGAAUAUUGGACAAUGGGCGAAAGCCUGAUCCAGCCAUGCCGCGUGUGUGAAGAAGGUCUUCGGAUUGUAAAGCACUUUAAGUUGGGAGGAAGGGCAGUAAGCGAAUACCUUGCUGUUUUGACGUUACCGACAGAAUAAGCACCGGCUAACUCUGUGCCAGCAGCCGCGGUAAUACAGAGGGUGCAAGCGUUAAUCGGAAUUACUGGGCGUAAAGCGCGCGUAGGUGGUUCGUUAAGUUGAAUGUGAAAGCCCCGGGCUCAUCCUGGGAACUGCAUCCAAAACUGGCGAGCUAGAGUAGGGCAGAGGGUGGGGGAAUUUCCUGUGUAGCGGUGAAAUGCGUAGAUAUAGGAAGGAACACCAGUGGCGAAGGCGACCACCUGGGCUCAUACUGACACUGAGGUGCGAAAGCGUGGGGAGCAAACAGG
RNAcentral lists this ribosomal RNA (429 nucleotides) under Pseudomonadota bacterium. Its description in RNAcentral is "Proteobacteria bacterium partial 16S ribosomal RNA". It matches the Rfam family "Bacterial small subunit ribosomal RNA", at positions 355 to 776 of the family's 1533-position model. Lineage: Bacteria; Pseudomonadati; Pseudomonadota. The record is from RNAcentral.